RNAcentral lists this non-coding RNA (1277 nucleotides) under Drosophila mojavensis. RNAcentral's name for it is "Eukaryotic large subunit ribosomal RNA". It matches the Rfam family "Eukaryotic large subunit ribosomal RNA", at positions 2316 to 3399 of the family's 3401-position model. Lineage: Eukaryota; Metazoa; Arthropoda; Insecta; Diptera; Drosophilidae. The record is from Rfam by way of RNAcentral.
UAAACAAAUCAAGGAUUCUGUCCCUAUCUACUAUCUAGCGAAACCACAGCCAAGGGAACGGGCUUGGAAUAAUUAGCGGGGAAAGAAGACCCUUUUGAGCUUGACUCUAAUCUGGCAGUGUAAGGAGACAUAAGAGGUGUAGAAUAAGUGGGAGAUAUUAGGCUUCGGUUUGAUAUCGCCAAUGAAAUACCACUACUCUUAUUGUUUCCUUACUUACUUGAUUAAGUGGAACGUGUAUCAUUUCCUAGCCAUUAUACGGAUAUAUUAAUUAUGUCUUAUGGUAUUGGGUUUUGAUGCAAGCUUCUUGAUCAAAGUAUCACGAGUUUGUUAUAUAAUCGCAAACAAAUUCUUUAAUGAGAAAAUGCAGCAAUGUGUUUUUGAUUUAAUAAUUUGGUAUAACUCCAAUUACUCAGGUAUGAUCCAAUUCAAGGACAUUGCCAGGUAGGGAGUUUGACUGGGGCGGUACAUCUCUCAAAUAAUAACGGAGGUGUCCCAAGGCCAGCUCAGUGCGGACAGAAACCACACAUAGAGCAAAAGGGCAAAUGCUGACUUGAUCUCGGUGUUCAGUACACACAGGGACAGCAAAAGCUCGGCCUAUCGAUCCUUUUGGUUUAAAGAGUUUUUAACAAGAGGUGUCAGAAAAGUUACCAUAGGGAUAACUGGCUUGUGGCGGCCAAGCGUAUAUAGCGACGUCGCUUUUUGAUCUUUUGAUGUCGGAUCUUCCUAUCAUUGCGAAACAAAAUUUCCCAAGCGUUGGAUAGUUCGUCCAGGCAAGGGAGCGUGAGCUGGGUUUAGACCGUCUUGAGACAGGUGAGUUUUACCCUAUUAAUGACAAAACGUUGUUGCGACAGCAUUCCUUGCGUAGUACGAGAGGAACCGCAGGUACGGACCAAUGGCACAAUACUUGUUCGAGCGAACAGUGGUAUGACGCUACGUCCGUUGGAUUAUGCCUGAACGCCUCUAAGGUCGUAUCCGUGCUGGACUGCAAUGAUAAAUAAGGGGCAAUUUGCAUUGUAUGGCUUCUAAACCAUUAAAAGUUUAUAAUUCAUUUUAUAGACGACAAUGGAUGUGAUGCCAAUGUUAUAUAUAACAUAGUAAAUUGGGAGGAUCUUCGAUCACCUGAUGCCGCGCUAGUUAUAUUUUAAAACAUUAUUUAAUACAAUGACAAAGCCUGGAAUCAAUUGUAAACGACUUUUGUAACAGGCAAGGUGUUGUAAGUGGUUGAGCAGCUGCCAUACUGCGAUCCACUGAAGCUUAUCCUUUGCUUGAUAUGAUUC